ACUCAAAUGAAUUGACGGGGGCCCGCACAAGCGGCGGAGCAUGUGGCUUAAUUCGAUGCAACGCGAAGAACCUUACCUGGGCUUGACAUGCGGGGUAAAGCCGGUGAAAGCCGGUGCUCUACGGAGCCCGCACAGGUGGUGCAUGGCUGUCGUCAGCUCGUGCCGUGAGGUGUUGCCUUAAGUGGCGCAACGAGCGCAACCCUUGUCCUUAGUUGCCAGCGGGUCAUGCCGGGAACUCUAGGGAGACUGCCGGUGCCAAACCGGAGGAAGGUGGGGAUGAGGUCAAGUCAUCAUGCCCCUUAUGUCCAGGGCUGCACACAUGCUACAAUGCGUGGUACAGAGGGCUGCGAUCCCGCGAGGGGGAGCGAAUCCCAAAAAGCCACGCUCAGUUCGGAUCGGGGUCUGCAACCCGACCCCGUGAAGUCGGAGUCGCUAGUAAUCGCGGAUCAGCAAUGCCGCGGUGAAUACGUUCCCGGGCCUUGUACACACCGCCCGU
RNAcentral lists this ribosomal RNA (496 nucleotides) under uncultured bacterium. Its description in RNAcentral is "partial 16S ribosomal RNA". It matches the Rfam family "Bacterial small subunit ribosomal RNA", at positions 899 to 1397 of the family's 1533-position model. The record is from RNAcentral.